CACCAGCUCCACAAGUGGGGAUCAUAUUUAUUUGGCCUAAAGCGUCCGUAGCUGGUUUUGUAAAUCUUUUGUGAAAUUGUUAGGCUUAACCUAACAGCGCGCAGGGGACACUGCAAUAACUAGGGACCGGGAAGGGUUAGGGGUAUGCUGAGGGGAGCGGUAAAAUGCAAUAAUCCUCGGUAGACCACCUGUGGCGGAGGCGCCUAACUAGAACGGGUCCGACAGUGAGGGACGAAAGCCAGGGG
Molecule: ribosomal RNA, 245 nt
Filed under: uncultured archaeon
Lineage: Archaea
Description: partial 16S ribosomal RNA
Rfam family: Archaeal small subunit ribosomal RNA
Source: RNAcentral